Molecule: long non-coding RNA, 1037 nt
Filed under: Capra hircus (goat)
Lineage: Eukaryota; Metazoa; Chordata; Mammalia; Artiodactyla; Bovidae
Description: lncRNA (ENSCHIG00010017835.1)
Source: RNAcentral
CUAACCCAGGAAUUGAACCAGGGUCUCCUGCAUUGUAGGCAGAUUCUUUAUCAGCUGAGCUACCAAGGAAGCCCAACUGAGGGCAAAAGUACAGAGGAACCCUGGAAGGAGACCAGGGAGGGACACUGAGAGGUAUGCCUGGAUCUCAGAAUUUAGGAAAGGAGCCCCUGGCCACCCUGACUCCCCUGUCUUCUUCCUCCCCGUCGGCUGAGGAGGGCCCUUGGGGUUGGGCUGAGUCCCCCCACCUCAAACUCCUGUGCAGGCUCCCUGGAUGUUGUCGUGGGUGCUAGAUUGUGUGUUUAGGGGAAGGGGGUUGCAAUGCAAUGUCUGGUUAGGGAAGACAUGGAAUUCUGAGGGAGGGAGGAGUAGCUAGCCCAACCAGUUUGGAGAGGUUGUUAGCUGACAGAUAGCCUGCGUGCUCGCUGCUCCGGGAACUGAAAGGAAGUCCCGGACAACCCUCAGUCGGCUCCCUCCUCCAGGCUGUGCUUCUUUGGCCCCUUCCUCCCGACCCAAGUCUCUUCCCGCAGGACUGGGGAAGGCUGGGGUCUGGGACCUCGGCAGGCUUGAGUGUCACUAUCUAAAUUGGCCUUGAGGGGAAAGGAGUGUGUGUGUGUGUGUGUGUGACACAUUAAAGGACAGAGAGAUCCCCUGGGGACAUCUUUCAAGCCACGUGUCUUUCAUUCCCUCUAGGCCACAAAACCCGCCCUGACCAGCCUCUGCUUCUCCUUUCCUGGUGGUUGACUCAGAGCCUCUCAGAGCCCCUCUGCCUCUCUGUCUUACUUUUCCUCCAGGCCUUUCCUCCCAAGCUUCACGCCACUGUUGUUUCCAAGUCUUCCCUCUCUCCCUCAGCAGCCUCUCCUCCCCUUUCUUCCCUGCACUCUGCCUGCUGGUCUGGGGCCAGGGGGAUCCCAGACCCAGCUUCUACGCGAUUCCCUCCUCUUGGCCAGGACGGGGCGGGCUCCCGGAACUGUUGCCAAUGGAGGUGGGGCCCUAGGGGGUGGAGCCCCUGGUGCAGGCUCGGUCCAGGCGGCGGCUAG